Molecule: ribosomal RNA, 478 nt
Filed under: uncultured Alphaproteobacteria bacterium
Lineage: Bacteria; Pseudomonadati; Pseudomonadota; Alphaproteobacteria
Description: partial 16S ribosomal RNA
Source: RNAcentral
GUAUUACCGCGGCUGCUGGCACGAAGUUAGCCGGGGCUUAUUCUGUGGGUACAGUCAUUAUCUUCCCCACCAAAAGAGCUUUACAACCCUAAGGCCUUCGUCACUCACGCGGCAUGGCUCGGUCAGGCUUGCGCCCAUUGCCGAAUAUUCCCCACUGCUGCCUCCCGUAGGAGUCUGGGCCGUGUCUCAGUCCCAGUGUGGCUGAUCAUCCUCUCAGACCAGCUAUGGAUCGUAGCCUUGGUGAGCCAUUACCUCACCAACUAGCUAAUCCAACGCGGGCCCAUCUAGAAGCGAUAAAUCUUUCCCCCGGAGGGCGUAUACGGUAUUAGCACGAGUUUCCUCGAGUUAUUCCGUACUUCUAGGUAGGUUCCCACGCGUUACUCACCCGUCUGCCACUCUCUCCGAAGAGAGCGUUCGACUUGCAUGUGUUAAGCCUGCCGCCAGCGUUCGUUCUGAGCCAGGAUCAAACUCUAAGGGC